Molecule: ribosomal RNA, 420 nt
Filed under: uncultured Nitrososphaerota archaeon
Lineage: Archaea; Thermoproteati; Nitrososphaerota
Description: bacterial SSU rRNA
Rfam family: Archaeal small subunit ribosomal RNA
Source: RNAcentral
CAGCCGCCGCGGUAACACCAGCCCCUCAAGUGGUCAGGAUGAUUAUUGGGCCUAAAGCAUCCGUAGCCUGCUUUGUUAGUUUUCGGUUAAAUCCAUACGCUUAACGUAUGGGCUGCCGGGAAUACUGCAAAGCUAGGGAGUGGGAGAGGUAGACGGUACUCGGUAGGAAGGGGUAAAAUCCUUUGAUCUAUUGAUGACCACCUGUGGCGAAGGCGGUCUACCAGAACACGUCCGACGGUAAGGGAUGAAAGCUGGGGGAGCAAACCGGAUUAGAUACCCGGGUAGUCCCAGCUGUAAACUAUGCAAACUCAGUGAUGCAUUGGCUUGUGGCCAAUGCAGUGCUGCAGGGAAGCCGUUAAGUUUGCCGCCUGGGAAGUACGUACGCAAGUAUGAAACUUAAAGGAAUUGGCGGGGGAGCAC